GGCUCUUCCUACUUAAGGCUGAUGACAAUCUUGAUGACUUAUCAACUCCUUGAUGACCUAUCACAAAAUAUCGUCAAGGCUCUGCUUCAGUACUUUAGUGCUGCCUUAGGUUGACGACAUUCUUAACAGCUUAUCAGACCCUUGACGACUUAUCACAAAAUGUCGUCACAGACUUCAACUUAGGCUAAUUCUCUAUCUAUGGCUGACGAUGACCUUGAUAGCUUAUCACAAGGCUGACGACUUAUCACAAAUGUUGUCAACCACACUUUUCUUCUGAUUUCAACUUCUUUUCUUCUAUUCUUAUUCGUUCUCUAUCAUAUCAGCUUCUACUGCAAAAUCAAACAUAAACCAAUAAAAAAAGAUAAAAGUUGCUUAAGACUUCACAAUUAUUCUUAGUUAAAAGCCUCAAAUGUGUUAGUGUUAGCUCACACAUCAAUACUACAAACCAACUCAGAAUCUUAGCACGAUAUGUAUGAAAAAAAUAAAGAACUCCAAAGAAUGACGCAUAGCCUCCCGAAGAUUGGAAAUGGCCAUCAAUGUUUUGACCCGCAGGACUCUAUUAGAAACUUGCUCUUGUACCAAUAAUACCAGUAAAACCUAGGCUCUGAUACUAAUUUGUCACAUCCCAAAUUUUGAGUCAUGAUGGCACCUACCAUAACCCACUAGUAGGUAAGCCGACACCAUAACCCGGAGCUAAUGCAAUGGGUUACCUUGGUAGAAACAUCCAACAUGGACCCUAUGUAGCAACACAAUAUAACAACAACAUUCUACAAACAAAAUUACUAACAUUCGAAUACCAAUACCAUGACCUGGUAGUAUAAGUACAAGAGCAACUCUAAAUCUGACAACAAAAAUUAGAAUUUGAAGUCUAGAAACUUAAAUAGUCUUAUACAACUGUCUUGAGUACAAAAGACAAGUAAAGAAAGAAUAAAAAGAGGGAAACUCAAACUCCAAGAUCUCGCCCUAUCCCCUGAUGAUCAACACAACACGAUCUCGACUCAACAGUGGAAACUAGAACUCAGGUUUGCACCAAAAAGGUACAUAAAUGCAGUAUGAGUACCAAAACACGGGUACUCAUUACGCAUCAUCGGCUGACUGAGCUCAAAUAUGAUAUAAAGAUGAGAUAAAGUAAGACAAUGAUCUUAAUGUCAAGGGGUAGGAUCGAACCUGAAUCUACUUUAAUACUACUGUAAGAACAUCUAUACUACUAAAGCAAUAACAUGACAUCCUGUUUCAAAAUACUCCAUAAUCACCAUAACAACUGAGAAUCAUUUUGAAAGAGUACAGUUAUAUACACAAUAUCAAAACAUCUACUUUAUAUAAUCAUCAUUAACCAUCUUUAGACCAUAAACACAAGAACUUACCACAACGUCCACUAUCAGGAAGUACACGAAAGAGAGCACAACAAAGAACGCAUCACAACAUCCCAUACCACCGAAGAAUAUAUAAAAGAACAUCAAACAAGAACUCAUCACAACAUCCUAUACCACCGGAGAGUACACCAAAGAAUACAACCAAUAAUACAAUAAAGCACAACUACUCCAUCAAUUUAACAAAAAUCGCAGGUAGCAUAACCCCGCCAUGGGUCAUUACCGAAAUCCACUUCCAAUUACCCAUACCUUAAUUCAACAUAAAGAAAGCAACAUUGUCAUAGCAUAGGUUUGUAAUCAUUAAUUCUAUAAUUCAUUGAUAAAUACUGCGAAGUCCACACUACUUAACCUUAUUUUUCCAAAAGUCAAAAGAUUACAAGUCUUAAAAUCACUAGUAAUCAAAUUGGGGAAAAACUACAAGACACCCAUAGUAUAGGUUAUUCAACUAUCAUAAGGCCAUUCUUUAACUAGGAUCAUCAUUACAUGAGUUAUCAACUAAGCCAUCUCAACUUCACAUGUUAGGAGAUAAUUUAACUAACCAUCACGCAAUACUAGAUCCAUCAUCACUAAGCAUGUCACAAACUUAAGGACUAGUUUCCAUAUUUUAAUCAAGUAAAGUCCACCAACUAGUUUACUAGGUUUCGAGGUUUCAAAUAAUAAUCAUAUACUUUAGAAGUAGCUAGUUAUCACAUAAGCCACCUUACUAGGCAAGAUUUCAUAGUAUAACCUCUUAUUCAAGUCAAGUAUAUAUAUAGGUUAGCCCUUGAAUUUUUUAUGAAAGUUUACACAUAACGCUAAGCCUUAACUUAAUAUUAGACAUAAAUUUCCCCUAGUAGCUAAUUUAGCAUCAACAAGGGUCACACCUCUUAUAUAGUUAUUUGGAACAAGAAAUGAAUAAUAAUUUACCAGGAGAGACCUCAUAAUUCAAGCAUAUAGGUGGUUGGCCCCAUAUGGCCUAAACUUACAAAUAUCAAUACAUAUAAGUAAAUUUGGCCCACACAGCAUCAUUAUGUUCUUACCUCUUUCGGAUUCAUCAGGCAUCAUCACAAUAUUGACAUAUUUCUCUGAAUUCAUCGGGAUUAUCAUAAUAUCACACAUUCCUCUAGAAUUGAACCGGGCAUCAUCAUAAUAUAACAUAUUCCUCCAAAUUCACCGAGCAUCAUCAAAAUAUCACAUAUUCCUCCGAACUCGAAUCGGGCAUCAUCAUAAUAUCACAUAUUCCUUCGGACUCGAAUCGGGUAUCUUUAUAAUAUCACAUAUUCCUCCAGAUUCACUGGGCAUCAUCAUAAUAUCAUAUAUUUCUCCAGACUCAAACUGGGCAUCAUCAUACUAUCACAUAUUCAUAUAGAGUCAAACCGAGCAUCAUUAUACUAUCACAUAUUUUUCUAGAUACAACAACAUACGUCCACAUGCAUAGCCAAACCAAUAACCAAAUACUCAAGCUCACAAUACAUAAAAAAAUAGGGAUGUGGGAUAACACUUGCCAUUUUACCUUACUAAUAAGCUUCACACGUAAUGUGAGCAUCAAUAAGAGCAUGAGUAUUUACCAAACAUUCACAAUAAUCACUUAACAAGGUUAUUCAAGUCAUGAUAAUAAGAAAAUAUGAUAAUCGAGUGCAACCAUCCCAACUUCUAUACAUAUACAUAUAGCUUGGACAAUCACUACGUAUCUAGGUCGCUAAGCAUUUACUUUGUUCAAGCUUAAGGUGGGUCAAUUCCCACUUCUAAAUCCCGAGAAUACCAAGCUUACUAAAAUAUGUCUAGCAUCUACCCAAAAUUAGGCUAAGUCAUCCAUACCUCACCAUAAAGUCUUACCAAUCCUUUCUAAAUCUAUAGGGAAAGUCUCUUCAAGAAUCCUUCCUAAGUAAACCCAACACCAAGGUCAUCUCCUAUCUAGGAAUUAUAUAGGUUAAUACACUCCUACAGAUAGAGAAGUAUACCAUUCAUGUCUACUUAGGACAACUAUAGUAUUCUCACACUAUUCAUGAGACCACAAUUAAGCUAACCAAGGUCCUAAAGUAAGUGUCAAAUAUCAUACCUUACAAAUCCAUGGACUAUAACAAUUAAUAAAUCCCAAGUUCACUAAUUAAUCAACUAUCGUCUAAAUUCCCCACCCAAUCUCGCAAGAUAUUAAUGAUUAUAUUAUAAACAAGCUCAAUCUGGACCACGAGUAAGCCUAACCUACCUUGAAUCCAAGCAAAUCAUGAACCAACGAGUUUUUCCUUUCCUUUUUGAGAAGCUUUCUCUUCCACAAGCAAUGCUAUCAACAAUAUAAUCUAAUCAUUACAACAAGAAUAAAAAUACCCAUUAUAGCACCAUUGUGCCAUGGGUUUCAAAAUGACAUCAAACCUCAAGUGGGUCCUACCUUUGGAAAAUGAGUUGCUGAUACCAACCCAUAGUCUAAAUAUUAUUAGGGAGCUAAUAACCCUCAAGAAAUUUAAGUAAAUCAAUCAUAUUUUUGGAUACAAUUGAACGUCAAAGACUUAGGAUUUUUUGGUCUAGAAAUCAAGAAAUUAAUAUCAAAUUUGAAAAAAUCUUACCUUAGAUUUGUAGAAGAAAAAUUAGAUUAACACAAGUUGCUAAGCUUCUAAUCAAUCGACAAGACUCAUUUUUUCUGUCAACAAAUAUUUAUGGCUUUUAGGGUUUUGAAAAUGCUGAAAAUAUCUCAAAAAUUGGCCAAAGGGCCUUUUUAUACGAGUUCAAAUGGGUCAGUAGGGUCAAAACUUGUUUUUCACCUACCAGACUCAUUCAGACUCUGUUUUUCACAAACGAACUAUGUAACCUUACUAAAUUUGAUAUUUUAGAUACAUUGGUGAAGUUAGAUUUGCCAUCCGAGGUCAUUUAAGCUACUUGUUGGUCCCACACCCAUAUAUUUCGACUUUUGACUUUUUGACUAAUGGGUCAAAUUAGCUUGGGUGCUGUGGGAUCCGAACCAAAAGUCUACCUAUCGUAAAAUCAAUAUUACAUAGCUACUGAUGUAGUCAAAAUUUGUAUCUGAAAUUGUUUUGGUAAAGUUUUUGUUUAGAGGCCAUUUGGAAUCGACGAAGACUUCAAAUUGGAAAAGUGGUUCUAAAAACCAAACAAACUGUCAUGUAACCGACUUAUCGAUUCCACCAAGUAACUAAUGACUUGUGACGGCUAUGAAGGAGCUCUAUAAGCAAAGAUAAGCAAAACACAGCUAAUGGCCUGGAGGUUCAUUACAAAUACACACUUGAAUUUAUUUUUGGUUAGAAAUGAUAUAAAUACCAAGUUCUUUAUCAACUACAGUAUAUGAAGGACUUUGUUGAGUGUCAACGCCUUUCCUUAUGUUAUCUUCAAGAAAAUUUUUCUUGUUCCUUCAACCUUUGCUAUUGUGGAGUUAUCCAUAUAAAUCUUCUCCUCAUCUUGAGCCGAAGCAUAAGAACCAAAAAACUCCUUGUUGGCACAUAUGUAGCAUGUGGCACUGGAAUCAAUCCAUCACUCUUUAGGAUUACCCACCAAGUUACAUUCUAAGAGCAUGGAUCAUAGAUCAUCCACUUUAUUUUUUGAUUCAGCCAUGUUGGCUUGAUCCUUCUUCUUGACUUUCUUUGGGGCCCGAUAAUCUAUGGAUUUAUGGCCAGCCUUGCCAUAAUUAAAGCAAUUUUCUUUGAACUUUUUAUUUAGAGGAUUGCUUUGUUGUUCAAAUGUUUUCUUUUAUUUCUUUAAGUUAUUAGGGUCAUCUUCAUCAAGAUUUGCUCCACUAAUUACAGAAUUCCCUUUUUCAUCUACUUUGUUAUCUUCUUCAGUAUGUAACCUCACGAUGAGGCCUUCAACAGAAAUUUUCUUUUCUUUAUGCUUCUAGUAAUUUUUAAAGUCGUUCCACAAAGGUGACAACUUUUCUAUUAUAGCCACUACUUUGAAAGCCUUAUUCACAAUCAAACCUACAACAAAGAUUAUAUGAUUGUUAAAAAGAACUUUAAUAUGUUCAAGUAAGGUACUCACUAUGUUUAUACCUUCUGCUAGGAGAUCAUGGAUGAUCACUUACAGUUGUUGCACUUGAGAGAUGAUAUUCUUACGGUUUGUCAUCUUAAAUACAAGAAAUUUUGCAAGAAGAACUAUUUAGUUCCAGCAUCCCCAGUUUUAUAUCUUAAUUCCGAUGCAUCCCAUAAUUUUUUCAAGGUUUUUAGACCGCUGUACACAUUGUACAGAUACUCUUGAAGACUACUUAGUAUAUAUUUCUUACAUGAAAAGUUUGAGCCUUUUCUUGCCUGCAUUACUAUAAAACGUUCCUUGUUCGGUAUCUCUUAGGGAAAUUGUUUAACAUUUUCAAAGAUAAACCUUUAAAAACUUAGAGUCGUCAAAUAGAAGAACAUCUUUUGCUACCAACGUUUGAAAUUCACACCUGGAAACAUUUUGAAUUUUUUUGUUGGUGCCAUAGUGAGCGCGACACUCGUAUGGCUUAUUGUAGCAACAGUUGUAGUUGCUAUACUUGUCUUUUUACCAUUUUAAUGACUUUCAACAGGCAUUUUUUCUGUCACAAAAAGACAACCAAUUUAGUAUGUCAGAAGAAUACUAACUAUAAAGUUUUAAAAACUCUAAGCACCAACUUGUUUCUAGUUUAACAGUGAAGUUUUUAUGUUUUUCAAAUCGUCAAUCGAAUGAACUUUAACUUGUGGUAAAAUUUUUAUAUCUUUAAAUCACUAUUAAGUUCAAACAGAGUAGAAAUUCAAAUUCUUUAAUCUUUAGAAGCAUAAAAAUACAGAGAUUUCAAUGAAUCAGUGAAGUAUUUAUAUUCUGCAAACCAAAUUCCCAAAUUGAUUUGUCGGUUAAGUUUUUAUAUUCUAUCUGUAUUGAUUAAUCAUGUGUUUCAAGGCAUCCCUAUACAUCUAUUAUCAAAACUCAAUCCUCCUAAAGGGGUACUAAGGCAUUUACAUAGCAUCUUUGCUAUGUUUUUCCGGAAGAACACCACAGAUAAGAAGAGUAGACAUUGGGUGAGUUGGGACACUUUAUGCUUACCUAAAUUAGAAGGAGGUGUUGGUUUUAGGUCUCUUUUUGAUGUUUCUAAUGUUCUUUUUUGUAAAAUUUUAUGGAACUUGAGGAGUAGACCUUCACAAUUGGGAGCUUUUAUGACCAACAAAUAUUGCAAAAAAGCUUCAUCCAGUAUUGACCUAAUGUAGGGGAGAUUCCCCUAUAUGGAAAAAGCUAAGAUUUGACAGAGAGCUCAUAGAGCAUCAAAUUUGGUGGAAGAUUGAGAAUGGGAAUUCUAGUUUUUGGUAUGACUUUUGGACUACAAUGGGAGCAUUAUAUCACAUUAUCGCAGAUAUAGGGGAUGGGGAAAUUGAAGUUAGGAAUUUUACAACUGUAAAUAGGUGGAAUGAGCAAAGUUUGAGUAAAUUUUUCCCUAAAGAGAAUGUAGAUUUCAUCAUUAAAAACAUCUGAUCUCCAAUGCAAAUAGAUAAUCUAGAUAAAUAGUGUGGAUGCUUGAACCUAGUGGAAUUUUCUCAGUCAAGAGUGUGUGUGAGUAUACUAUACAAAAGGAUCAGAAAGAAGACAUAUUUUAAUAUUUAUGGAGUGAUAAGCUGCCUUUUAAAAUAUCUUUUUUCACUUGGAGAAUGUGGAAAUUCAGGGUGCCAGUGGAUAAAAUAGUGCAACACAUGGGUGUUAACAUGGUUUCUAGGUGUUGGUGUUGCACUAAUGGUUACUAAUGUUGCAGGUAUAUACAUUGAAGGCUUACAGUUAUCACAAGUGAUCAUUAAAUGGUGGCCAAGAAAAUGUUGUUCAAACUUAAAGCUACUUAUGAGAGCUAUAUCAUCUAUAAUUAUUUGGAACCUAUGGAAGAGAAGGAAUAGAUUAAAGCAUUGAAAUACAUCAUCAUUUACUCAUUUAGUUUUCAAGGUCAACGCUAACCUAUGAAGACUCGGGAGAAUUCUACAUCCAAAAAUACAUGAUUUCCCAAUACACUGGUAAAAUAUUAUGGUAUAUUAAGAGAACCUUAAAGCCAAACUAUUUCAUCUUCCAAUUUGCUGGAAACCACUGGAAGGAUGUCUAAAAUACAACACUGAUGGUAUAUCAAGAGGCAAUCCAUGUAGGAGCACCUGCAAUUUCUUCUUGAGGAACUUUGCAGGUGAUUUAAUAUAUGCUCAAGGGGAAAAAAUUCAGGAAAGCACAAUUCUAGAAGCAGAAGCCAUGGCAAUAAAAAAGGCUCUAGCACACUGUGUGACAAAAGGGAUUACUAAAGUUAGUCUGGAAAUGGAUUCACUAAUGAUGAUUAAAAUUCUUACAAAAAUGUGAUUACCUUGGAAUAUUAUUGGGAUCGUGGAAGCAGAACAGAAAUAUUUAGAACUAUGUCAGGUUCACAUCCAACAUGUAUACAAAAAGGGUAAUUAUUUGGUUGAUUGCUAGCCAAUUUAGCUUUUGAUAAUACAGGUAGACUUGUCUUUAAUUUCUUCUCAGAAUUACCAAGUCAUGCCAGAAGGAUUUUGAAUCUAGAUAAGCAUCAAGUGCCAAAUUUAAGAAUUCGUACUAAGGAAAUAGUUAGAUAUAAGGAUGGGUGUCAAGGAUCCGUCACAACAAUUAUAAGAUGAGUUCAAGCAUUUUUAUUUUCUUGAUGUAGAUUAGUAUUUCUAGUACCUUUGUAGAGGAACAAUUCAUUUCAAAAACCCAAUUCAUAAGGGCAUUUAUAGAUCUAAAGUCAUUGUACUUGAGCGAAGAAUUAUAGAAGACAUGAUUAUAAGUCUUGGUACAGAUUCAAACUUCUUUGAGUCGUCACAGAUGCAAGUCAAAGCUAUAGGAAAACACACAGAUAUAAAGAUAAAUAUUUGCAAAGGGAAAGCCAACUUAUACCUGGAAAAAACUCCAAAAAUCUAUUUGAAGCAGGUUGUGGUCGGUUAAUAAGAAGCUCGCCGGAAGUCUUUCGCUCCAGGAGCUCAUCACCAAACAUUUUUGUUGCUAAAAAUAUUAGUAGGAAAGCCAAGAAAUAAAAAUAAUAUGGGAAAGGAGCUUACAUUUGUUUCACAGCAGGUCAUCACUUUCCUAUUUGCUCAAAUGAUGGAAGAUGAUGGAGAGGAAUUAGCAGAGCUUCUGAUUCAUUUGCCUCUUCAUUUUCUUACUUUUUGUAUUAUUAUUUCCAAGGAAAUGUAUCGAUUGGGAUGCUCUUUUUUUUAUGGACA
Molecule: long non-coding RNA, 8497 nt
Filed under: Capsicum annuum
Lineage: Eukaryota; Viridiplantae; Streptophyta; Magnoliopsida; Solanales; Solanaceae
Description: long non-coding RNA (CANN_LNC016344)
Source: RNAcentral